GUGUCAGCAGCCGCGGUAAGACGAGCCUCACGAACGUUAUUCGGAAUUACUGGGCUUAAAGGGUGCGUAGGCGGCGCGGAAAGUAGGGUGUGAAAUCCCUCGGCUCAACCGAGGAACUGCGCUCUAAACUACCGUGCUCGAGGGAGAUAGAGGUAAGCGGAACUUAGGGUGGAGCGGUGAAAUGCGUUGAUAUCCUAAGGAACACCGGUGGCGAAAGCGGCUUACUGGAUCUCUUCUGACGCUGAGGCACGAAAGCUAGGGUAGCGAACGGGAUUAGAUACCCCUGUAGUCC
This 292-nucleotide ribosomal RNA is filed under the name uncultured bacterium. RNAcentral's name for it is "partial 16S ribosomal RNA". It matches the Rfam family "Bacterial small subunit ribosomal RNA", at positions 505 to 796 of the family's 1533-position model. The record is from RNAcentral.